AGCACAGCAGUUGCCAAGUGAUCUUCUCCACAGCACCCAUGAACUUCAGCCUUGAACUGAAGAGGACUCAUCAAAUGCCUUAGGAGAGACAGCAUGGAUUUGGAAGAGAAGCAGGCAUCUCCAUGAAGGGCAGUCUACUACAGUCUUGGUGUGUGGAGGAACAGGUCCUGUUCUCGCUGUUGUUACUCCCACAUAGGCGGACUCUGUAAUUGAUUAUGUGUGGGUAGGGCCCUAUUGAAAUUAAGGAGAUUCUGCAAUAGUGCAGGGUUCUUUUUGUGAAAGUUCAGUUGCAAGAUCAGGACCCUACUGUGACUCCUUACUGUGAAUUCUGUCAGUGUAUCAUUGGUUGUGCUGGAACCUGCCUUUUGGGAUAAUGUAAGUUCUGCUUUUCCCCCAAAUGUACUUUAGACAUGAAAUAAUCAUAAAACAUUUCUAAUUAGAAAAUUAAUAUCAUUUACAUGCAUUCUUUUAAUUAUGUUUUUUUGGCAGUACCAAAUAAUAUAUUCCUCAAAACUUCUUAAUGGCACUGAGGCUUUGUGGAUAGUUGGUCACAUGAUGAGAAAAUUCAGCUGUAAGUACAUUGAAAUGAUUGAUUUUUUCUAUAGUUAGUCUUUACUGAUGUUGACAAACUAAUAAUGAUAAAAAGGUGAAUCAAGAGGUUUGGCUUAUGUCAAUUGACUUCAGUUCUUCUUAGAAAAUAUAUACAAUAUAUCCAUUAAGGAUUUCAUUAUUCUUGGGUCAUUCACCAUGUGAA
Molecule: non-coding RNA, 754 nt
Organism: Nipponia nippon (crested ibis)
Lineage: Eukaryota; Metazoa; Chordata; Aves; Pelecaniformes; Threskiornithidae
Source: RefSeq, a predicted model, not a curated record